UCAAACUAAAGUGUCCACUCUACCUCUCUUUCUCCAGUUUUCUCCAUAGGCGGCCAGAUAAUUUUCUUCCUCUUGCUUUUUGAUUCAUUUUCAAAGAAACUUCCCAAAAUUUCAUGGUCUAAUAUCUUUAUGAAAAACCCAAUCUUUCAAUCCAUUUUUUGUUCAUUCAAAUCAAGCAAAAAGGAGCUCUAGAAUCCCUCUCCAAAAAUCCAUUAUAGGCUUAUAUAGAUCAAGUUCGGUUCAGGGGAACACAUUUUCCCUAUGACUAUACGGAGAUGAAAAUCUCACGAAGGCAUGGGUACCGAUGUAUCCCGAAAGCAAUCCACUAUCCUAUACGAAGGUGAAAACCUUACGAAGAAAUAGUUUCUCACUCCCACUUAAAAGGACAAAAUCAUUCAACUCAUGUAUAAUGCAAAAAUAACUAAAAUACUUAGAUUGAUUAAGCAAGAAAAUGAUGAAUGCAAAAGGAUCUUAUGAAUUUUUUUUAAAAUUUAUUUUUCGACCAUAAGACAGAAAUUAAUCAACUUUGUGGCUCGGCUCUCUUAUUUUAGUCCCCAGUGGCAUCGCCAAGCUGUCGAAACCAUUUUUUAUUUUGAAAAAAAACUAAAAUUAGUUGUCGACUUUAAAAAAACAAAAAUUGGGAGUCGCCACCAAUCUUUUAUUGAGGUGUGAUUGGAUCACCUAAACAAUAGCUUUGGUCUACGAGUUUUAGAAAAAUGGAUUCAGGAGUCGGUUACAUACAAGGAAGGAUUAGCACCCUCGUAACGCCCAAAAUUGGUACCUAGUUAAUUAAUUAGUGUCUUAAUGUCGAAAAUUUAAAAAUAUGAUCCUUAAUAAAAACUAAAAAACGUUACUUAUUAAGACUCUUACCAUUUCAGAGAAAGAAAAUGUCACACCCAAUGCGUUAGGGCACGACAUUCUAUUUCCUCAAAAAUGAUUUAGUCCAAAAUACUCUUAUAAUAAAAAUUUAAAAGAAUAUCCAUUUAUUUAAGAUUUAAGAAAUCGCGGCCCAAUACGUUAGGGCACAAUUUCUCAAAAUCCUAAACUUGGAAUAUUUCCUUUGUUAUCAUUUUUAAAAAAAAUAUUUGUCUCGAGAAAUCAAUACGUCACAUCCAAUACGUUAGGAUACAACAUAUUAAAUUCCCGACAACAAGCUUUUCAUUUUAUUUUUUGAUUAAUGAGCAACUCUCAAUCGUUAGAUUUAACGAAGAAAAUCGGAACCCAAUACGUUAGGGCUCAAUUUCCUUGAAAAUCCUAAAUACGAGUAUUAUCUCAAUUUUAAAAAUGUUUGAAUAAAAUGAUUUUGAUGUUUGAAUGUUAUCGAAUAUAGCCUUUUAAGCGAAUAAAAUGUGAUAAAUGAUAAUAUACAACAUGAAGUGAUAAUUCGUAAACAAAACAUACACUAAUGAAUGAUAAAUAAUAAAUAAAUUCGAAAGAAAAUACAUAAACCUAUUUAAGAGAGAAUUUAAAGGUAAUAGAUAAAAUAAUAUGAAAUCAAUAAUAUAUAGAAUAAAAAUAAUUUAUUACAAAUUAUAUAUGUAUAUAUAAAAUAGUAUCGUAUAAAAACAUUUUCAUAUAAAUCUUUAAGACAUAUAAAUAUGUAAAAUGAAUUUCGAAAAUAUAUUACAAAAUAGGGAUAUCAAAGACUCUAUACAAAUCAUGUUGAAUUUACCUAAAAUAUAAAAAAGUGUGAUAAAUCGAAAUAAUAGUAAUAUAUAUUGAAUUUCAAAAUAAUGAUACAUUAUAUUUUUUUACAAAGGGUAAUAUAUACAUAUAAUUCAAUAAACUUAUAGCCAUAAUACAUAUAAAACGUAAAAUAAAAUGGAAAAUACUAAGCUUAAUCAUUAAAAUAGUAUUAGAUUCAAAAUUAAAUAUAUUUAAAAAAAAUAGUGGUGUAAGAAAUCAAGCACAUUGAAUUAACAAGGAUUUAAAUUGAACUCCAAACAGAAUUAAAGGAAAAAAAAUGAAGGCCUAAUUAAAAGGCGCGAAUAACUCAUAGGGCUUGAAAGGGGAAAUAUCUCCAUCCUUUGAAAUGCGUCACUUUAUUAGGGCUAAAUAAAUAAAUAAAAUUCGCAAUGGUAUCACCUUCUCCCUUUUUUUAAAAUCGUAAAUAAGUAAAAAAAAAAAUAAUAAGCCACCUUUAAAAAACUGCCAAUCGUUCUCCUUUUUUUUAUUGAUUUUUUUCCUCCCUCCACAAUGAAGGGAGAGGCCUCUAUUUAUAGUUGAGCCUCUCCAAAUCCAACGGUACAGAUCAAUUACAUCAACGACUAAGAUUAAAGGGUAUCUACAAAUUAAAUCUCUAAGAUUACAAAAUCAUAUCUUCCAAGAUUGCAUAUCAUAUCUAAGAUUGCAUAUAUCAGAUCUAAGAUUGCAUAUCCUUGAAGAUAAUGUUUCCAUAAGCUUGUAGAUGGACCUUCAACCUUUUUAAGUAAUGGGUCAUUCCAAUCAGGUCAAAUGAUAUAAUUUUGUACUGGGCUUAGACUUUAUUUUAUUAUUGUAAGCCCGGGCUAAAAUUGGGUAUUACAAGGAGGGUUUGGUGUAGUUUAUAAAGGGUACUUGAAGGACUUGGAUACUUAUGUUGCUGUUAAACGGAUUUCAAAGGCCUCUAAGCAAGGAAUUAAGGAAUAUGCAUCUGAAGUGAAGAUUAUUAGCCGAUCAAGGCACAAGAAUCUUGUGAAGCUUAUUGGCCAGUGUCAUGAAAAAGGAGAACUUAUACUUGUUUAUGAGUUCAUGGCUAAUGGCAGCCUAGAUUCCCAUCUUUUUAAAGGUAAAACCUUAUUGACUUGGGAAGUGAGAUUUAAAAUUGUGCAGGACCUGGCAUCAGCACUAUUCUAUCUACAUGAAAAGGGUGACCAUUGCGUACUACACAGAGAUAUCAAAGCGAGCAACAUUAUGUUAGAUUCUAGUUUCAAUGCUAAACUUGGGGAUUUCGGACUUGCUAGGCUAGUGGAUCAUGCAAAAGCGUCACAAACCACCCAUUUAGCUGGGACUAUGGGCUAUUUGGCACCUGAAUGCGUUUCAUCGGGAAAGGCUAGCAAGGAAUCGGAUGUCUACAGUUUUGGAGUUGUGGCAUUGGAGAUUGCAUGUGGCAGAAGAUCAAUAGAGCCCAAAUAUGAAGAAUCUCAAGCUUCGUUGGUAACCUGGGUGUGGAAUGCUUAUGGAAGCCAACGGUUGCCUGAUGUAGCUGACCCAAAACUAUGUAUGAACUUUGAUGCUAAACAAAUGGAAUGCUUGUUAAUGGUUGGACUGUGGUGCGUCCAUCCAGACCAGCAUUUAAGACCAUCUAUAAGGCAAACACUUCAGGUUUUUAAUUUCGAAGCACCGUUGCCGAAGCUUCCAGGUACGAGGCCAACUCCAACAUAUGAUGCACAAACCACUUCAGAAAUUCAAGCGAGCCAUGUUUUUCGGGUAUGAGUAUUACAGUCCCGCGUUAGACUAAUAUAAUUAUCACAUACAUAAUAUUCAAAUUGAUAAAAGAUGUCUAUUUACAAUAAUAUAUAUAUAUAUAUCAAUACAUAUUUUAAAUUUUAAAUUUACACAACAAUGGACAAUGAUCAAAAAUAUGGCCGAAUAUUUGCUUGCCCGAAAAAACGAAAAUACCCAAAAGGCAGACCCAAUCUGCCAUAGUUUUGUCAUUAAAAAUAAAUAGAAUUUAACAUGGGGCAUAUUUGAGUGUUGGGCUAUUAAUUGGGUCAUGUUUGGGGCUUAGUUUUUUUAUUCAAAACUCUCCUAAAUUGUGGACUAUUGUUCCAACAAUUAAUUCAACCUUUAAAUACGCUAAUGGUUGAAUUAAACAAAUUUAAAUUAUCGAUUACAAAAGAACAUAAAAACUUAUAGAACUAAUUUAAUUUUUUCUUAUUGUAUGUAAUUCCACCUUUUCAAAUCCAUAUUUAUCAUAAAAUCUCUUAUUAAAUUGAUGUCAUUUUAUAAAAUAAGUUGUAUUAUAUUGAGAGUGUUUUUUUUUUAUAUUUUUUAUAUAGAAAAAUAAACAGAUAUAACCAAAGUACUUAAACUCGCAUCUCUUUAAUUUAAAAAAAACCAUAUCUCUGUUUUUUUUUUAGAUUUUUAUUUUACCAUUCGAUCAAAAUUACGUUUAUAUAGUUUUUUUUUAUGAAUAUAUUUGGUUUAAGUUUUCACCCAACCUAUCAACCAAAAUUCACUAUUUUUAUAUGAAAAUUUUAAAACAAAUUAUAUAUUUAGAAUUAAAUUUAAAUAAUUAAUAAAUAAAAAUUAAAGCCAGAUCGUGCCUACACAAAAUUAAAAUUUCCUUAUUCAAGAUCGGGCCUACCAAGCUGCUUAAUCCUUCAAGUAUAAAUAAGGUCCUAUAAUUAUUGAAAUAUUAAAAAAUAAAUUUAUUUUUAAUGAUAUUUAUAUUUUAAAGCCAACUUUGAAUGAAAUUAAUUUAUUGAUAAUUCAAGUGGAGCUUAGCUCUCCUAAAUGGAAAAAUCUAGCUUCCAGACACAACCGAAAGACAAGUCAACUAUUUCUCCACUACCAAAUACUAUAGUAUAAAAAUAUUUCAAUUUGUUUUUGAAGGUAACAAUAAUUCAAUUACUAUUCAUAUAUGUAUGUAUGUAUGUAUGUAUGUAUAAUAGCUAGUUGGAAUGUAAAACUUUUGCAAGUCAAUAGACAUUCUCAUGCUAUCACCCUAAUAUUAAUUACGUCAUUUAUCAUAUCAUUGCCCUCUUGUGUUGACUAUUAGUUCAAACGAUUGAGGACUAAAUUUAAUUUUAUUUUGGAUUCAUUUUCUACGGUGCUUUGGGCGUAUGAUUGAGAUUCUAAAUCUUAGAGCUUUAGCUAAUGUUUAAUGAAAUUGAUUGCUUUUUUUUGGGGGGGGGGGCGGUUUGGGUGUUGAUUUAGCUAUUCGUUUAUCGUUUUGAUUUUAUGAGUGACAUUUAUGGUAUCAACUAUAGAUUGUCAUUGAGGUGGUUAAAACUGUCUUAUUUGCUUUAAUUAUUUAAUGAAGAAAAUCGUGGUUAUGUAUUGUUUUGAAGAAAUUUUGGUCCUCUUGUUAGCAUAUUCUAAAAUUGUUCCUGAUCAGAUUUGAGGUUCUGGAUAAUUCAUCAUUUUUGCUGAGCUGUAGAAUUGGUUAAUUGUAGAAUUGAUUAUUUCAGCUAACUAACUUUAUCCUCUUUAUUACCAAUUUAUGUAUAAAUCUGCUACCCCUAUACUAUUGAAAAAGGCAGACUGGUUAAAUGACAUUUCAGCUUACUUUUCUUGUUUGUUGUAUUUUUCUAAUCAUAAUACUUGUUUUCUAAUUCCUCUAUGGAAACAAAUCUUUGGGUUUUAGAGAUUAGAUUGGAUUCAAGUGAACCAAAUCAAUCCUUGGAAUGUGGGGGAUUGAUCAAGAUUAUGUAGCUAUUUAGAAGUCAUAUUUUCGAUUGAUUGUAUUUAGAUUAUUAUGAUUGUAUUAGCUAUUUUUAAGAAGUUACUUUGUAUUCACUUAAAUUUAAUGUUAGCAAGCCGAAUUAAAUAUAUGAUGAGAGGCUUGUAUAGAUUUUGUAUAAAAGUUUAUUGAGUGCAUUCAAAUCUAUCCAUUAAAUAAUAGACGUUUUAUGAGAGAGCAAAUUAAUAUUGUAAACAUUAUUGAGGGUGUAUGAUGCCCAAGUUCUCAAGGGGGAUUAUUAUAGUUUUAGGUACAAAUAUGAUUUCUCUAUACUUGGAGAGUGGAGUGUGAAUCAUUUGUUGUAUUCGUGUUCAAAGAUAGCGAAAUUACUCACUAAACUAGGCUCCGCAAAUAUCGAGAAAUCGAAUUGUGUAAAUAAACCUCUAUGUUAUUUUUAUUUUAUUUGCACGAUUUUUCUUAAUGCCAAGUCCUAGUGACUACUACAAUCAAAUACUUUCAUUAUAGUUUUGUAUUUCAGCAAAUAAACAACAAGAAGUAACAACAAGCUCCAAUUUAAAAUCAAUUUAAAAAUACUUUAAAGAAAAUUUGUUUAUAUACCAAUAGUAUUUGAACCUUUCUUAUGAAAUUAAUUUUUUCUAAUAAUGUAUCAAAUAUUAAAAAAAUAUUCAACUCAAAUUGAAUAUGAGUAUGUAAUUAUUUCUCAAAUUAAAUUUUGGCCCUAUUCAUAAACAUUUAGUUUUUUUCUUAAUAAACAUUUUCGGCUUCAACGUAGAAGUAUGGGACCUCCCAUGCAAGAUAUAUAUUUUAGCAACUUGCUAAUAUAAUAAAGUAUUUUCAUUUGCAAAGUCAUACAAAACAUCCAGUCACACUACAAUAAUUGAACAUUUCAUAUAUCUCAAACUCUACCUCUCUUUUUCCAUUUUUCUCCAUAGGCGGCCAGAUAAUUUUCUUCCUCUUGCUUUUUGAUUCAUUUUCAAAGAAACUUCCCUAACUUUCAUAGUCUAAUAUCUUUAUGAAAAACCCAAUCUUUCAAUCCAUUUUGUGUUCAUUCAAAUCAAGCAAAAAGGAGCUCUAGAAUCCCUCUCCAAAAAUCCUCCAACAUGUUCAUUCAUCGACUCCUUUUUGCUUCAAUAUUCAUAGUGUGUUGCCUCACAACGCUUACAAAUGGAGCUUCACUUCCAAAUGGUGAAG
RNAcentral lists this long non-coding RNA (6538 nucleotides) under Gossypium raimondii (Peruvian cotton). RNAcentral's name for it is "long non-coding RNA (GRAI_LNC005921)". Lineage: Eukaryota; Viridiplantae; Streptophyta; Magnoliopsida; Malvales; Malvaceae. The record is from RNAcentral.